Molecule: ribosomal RNA, 253 nt
Filed under: uncultured Eubacteriales bacterium
Lineage: Bacteria; Bacillati; Bacillota; Clostridia; Eubacteriales
Description: uncultured Clostridiales bacterium partial 16S ribosomal RNA
Rfam family: Bacterial small subunit ribosomal RNA
Source: RNAcentral
UACGGAGGAUUCAAGCGUUAUCCGGAUUUAUUGGGUGUAAAGGGAGCGUAGACGGCGAUGCAAGCCAGAUGUGAAAGCCCGCGGCUCAACUGCGGUAGUGCAUUUGGAACUGUAUGGCUGGAGUGCAGGAGAGGCAGGCGGAAUUCCUAGUGUAGCGGUGAAAUGCGUAGAUAUACGGAGGAACACCAGUGGCGAAGGCGGAUUGCUGGACAGUAACUGACGCUGAGGCACGAAAGCGUGGGGAGCAAACAGG